UACGAAGGGGGCUAGCGUUGUUCGGAAUUACUGGGCGUAAAGCGCGCGCAGGCGGUCUUCCAAGUCAGUGGUGAAAGCCCGGAGCUCAACUCCGGAACUGCCAUUGAAACUGUGAGACUUGAGUAUGAGAGAGGUGAGUGGAAUUCCCAGUGUAGAGGUGAAAUUCGUAGAUAUUCGGAAGAACACCAGUGGCGAAGGCGACUUACUGGACACAUAUUGACGCUGAGGUGCGAAAGCGUGGGGAGCAAACAGG
RNAcentral lists this ribosomal RNA (253 nucleotides) under uncultured bacterium. Its description in RNAcentral is "partial 16S ribosomal RNA". It matches the Rfam family "Bacterial small subunit ribosomal RNA", at positions 524 to 776 of the family's 1533-position model. The record is from RNAcentral.